UACAGAGGUCUCAAGCGUUGUUCGGAAUUACUGGGCGUAAAGGGCUCGUAGGUGGCCAACUAAGUCGGACGUGAAAUCCCUCAGCUUAACUGGGGAACUGCGUCCGAUACUGGAUGGCUUGAGUUUGGGAGAGGGAUGCGGAAUUCCAGGUGUAGCGGUGAAAUGCGUAGAUAUCUGGAGGAACACCGGUGGCGAAGGCGGCAUCCUGGACCAACACUGACACUGAGGAGCGAAAGCCAGGGGAGCAAACGGG
This 253-nucleotide ribosomal RNA is filed under the name uncultured bacterium. Its description in RNAcentral is "partial 16S ribosomal RNA". It matches the Rfam family "Bacterial small subunit ribosomal RNA", at positions 524 to 776 of the family's 1533-position model. The record is from RNAcentral.